UACGAAGGGGGCUAGCGUUGCUCGGAAUGACUGGGCGUAAAGGGCGCGUAGGCGGAUCCCGCCGUCGGGCGUGAAAUCCCCGGGCUCAACCCGGGGCGGUCACCCGAGACUCGGGGUCUGGAGUGGGGGAGAGGGUCGCGGAAUUCCCAGUGUAGAGGUGAAAUUCGUAGAUAUUGGGAAGAACACCGGUGGCGAAGGCGGCGACCUGGCCCUCGACUGACGCUGAGGCGCGACAGCGUGGGGAGCAAACAGG
RNAcentral lists this ribosomal RNA (253 nucleotides) under uncultured bacterium. RNAcentral describes it as "partial 16S ribosomal RNA". It matches the Rfam family "Bacterial small subunit ribosomal RNA", at positions 524 to 776 of the family's 1533-position model. The record is from RNAcentral.